CUUUUACAAUGAAGAGUUUGAUCCUGGCUCAGGAUGAACGCUAGCUACAGGCUUAACACAUGCAAGUCGAGGGGCAUCGAGAUGUAGCAAUACAUUGUCGGCGACCGGCGCACGGGUGAGUAACACGUAUCCAACCUACCGUUCACUCGGGGAUAGCCUUCUGAAAGGAAGAUUAAUACCCGAUGGUAUGCGAGUAUCGCAUGAUGCUUUCAUUAAAGAAUUUCGGUGAUCGAUGGGGAUGCGUUUCAUUAGAUUGUUGGUGAGGUAACGGCUCACCAAGUCUUCGAUGAAUAGGGGUUCUGAGAGGAAGGUCCCCCACACUGGUACUGAGACACGGACCAGACUCCUACGGGAGGCAGCAGUGAGGAAUAUUGGUCAAUGGACGAGAGUCUGAACCAGCCAAGUAGCGUGAAGGAUGACUGCCCUAUGGGUUGUAAACUUCUUUUAUAAGGGAAUAAAGUGCAGUAUGUAUACUGUUUUGUAUGUACCUUACGAAUAAGGAUCGGCUAACUCCGUGCCAGCAGCCGCGGUAAUACGGAGGAUCCAAGCGUUAUCCGGAUUUAUUGGGUUUAAAGGGUGCGUAGGCGGACUGAUAAGUCAGCUGUGAAAGUUUGCGGCUCAACCGUAAAAUUGCAGUUGAUACUGUUAGUCUUGAGUGUAGCGGAGGUAAGCGGAAUUCGUGGUGUAGCGGUGAAAUGCUUAGAUAUCACGAAGAACUCCAAUUGCGUAGGCAGCUUACUAUACUAUAACUGACGCUGAGGCACGAAAGUGUGGGUAUCAAACAGGAUUAGAUACCCUGGUAGUCCACACAGUAAACGAUGAAUACUCGCUGUUUGCGAUAUACUGCAAGCGGCCACGCGAAAGCAUUAAGUAUUCCACCUGGGGAGUACGCCGGCAACGGUGAAACUCAAAGGAAUUGACGGGGGCCCGCACAAGCGGAGGAACAUGUGGUUUAAUUCGAUGAUACGCGAGGAACCUUACCCGGGCUUGAAAUAUGUCUGACCGGGGUGGAAACACCCUUUCUAGCAAUAGCAGAUAUGUAGGUGCUGCAUGGUUGUCGUCAGCUCGUGCCGUGAGGUGUCGGCUUAAGUGCCAUAACGAGCGCAACCCUUAUCUUUAGUUACUAACAGGUUAUGCUGAGGACUCUGAAGAGACUGCCGUCGUAAGAUGUGAGGAAGGUGGGGAUGACGUCAAAUCAGCACGGCCCUUACGUCCGGGGCUACACACGUGUUACAAUGGGGGGUACAGCGAGUUGCUUACUGGUGACAGUUGGCUAAUCUUGAAAACCUCUCUCAGUUCGGAUCGAAGUCUGCAACCCGACUUCGUGAAGCUGGAUUCGCUAGUAAUCGCGCAUCAGCCACGGCGCGGUGAAUACGUUCCCGGGCCUUGUACACACCGCCCGUCAAGCCAUGGGAGCCGGGGGUACCUGAAGUACGUAACCUAAUUGGGGUCGUCCUAGGGUAAAACUGGUGACUGGGGCUAAGUCGUAACAAGGUAGCCGUACCGGAAGGUGCGGCUGGAACACCUCCUUUCU
This 1534-nucleotide ribosomal RNA is filed under the name Bacteroides sp. 224. Its description in RNAcentral is "bacterial SSU rRNA". It matches the Rfam family "Bacterial small subunit ribosomal RNA". Lineage: Bacteria; Pseudomonadati; Bacteroidota; Bacteroidia; Bacteroidales; Bacteroidaceae. The record is from RNAcentral.